AUCCAGUGUAUCAGCAUAUGCAGAGAAUGUACGUACCACAGCAAAAGGCUGUCUGGACCUCUUUAAAGUCAUCUCUCACAUCAUUAGGAUCUUUUUGUUUACAAAGCCCUGCUCCACAAGCUUCCAACUUACCUAACUUCACUGUUAAGAUUUAGAAUGACAAGUUAUCAAAGCCGUUCACAGGGUUGGUUUACUCUGGAGACUGUUUUGGUGUCUAGAGAGUUAGGUCAAUCAGCCUUUCACUUCCUAGCACUGUGUGUUUGGAUUCAUCUCCAAAAGACGUUUUGAUUGGAUGCUUUGGUGUCGCUAAGACAAUUCAGACAGCUGACAGAGGAUUUUAUCAUGCUGAAUGUGUUUGUUUUAAAUUACUGUGUUCUUAAUGUGUAUUUCAUGUGUUUAUUGUGUAUAUUUAUGUAUCUACUGAAUAGUUGCCUAUUGAUGUGUUCCUUUUUGUAUUGUGCUGAGCUUAUUUGCCAAAGAGAGACUUUAGUCUCAAUAUGAGUUCCCUGUUGAAAUAAAGGGCAAUAAAACACACAUUGACACUGGAAUUGCCACAAUUGAUCCACAUUCUAGUGAGCAAAACAGCACUAUAGCCAGCAAACCAAAUCCAAGGUGAGUGUAUGGUGAGAGAUUCAAAGGGACAUACACAACAAGGCUUCCCAUCCCUGUAGCUGUGGGGAGCUAUCACACAACAGCAGAGUGUUUAGAAAUGCCUUAAAAACCAUUUGAAGAUGUAUUAGUGGUUCCUCCAUUGCUGCCAAUGGAAGCCCAAUGAGAAGUACAUGGGUGUUUUUUUAGCAUCUCCAAAUUCCCAGCGUUGCUAAGGUGCUUUGGGGAAAGGAUUAGACAGUGCUGGCAGAGGGGAGCAAGCCUUGCUGAUUUCCUACCAGCAAGAGGAGACAAAGAAGGAAGGAGAGAGAGGAGGAGGAGAAUACGUGAGGGGGAAUGAAGGGAGCAGGAAGAACAGGUUGUAUAAACAUGAGUCGAGAAGAGAGAACAGAGCGACUCUAAACAGUAAUUAACACAGAGGAAAGGAAGGUUUCACCGUCUCACCACCAAUGGUGUGAGACCUGUCACCGUGGUCGUGCUCGCACACACGCACGCGGGCACACACACACACAAAUGUGCUCUUUUUACCUCUUCAGGCACUCUUACUCAAGACAAUCGCACAACUUAUUCUCUUGCAGUGACAUCACAAUAAGGUAAGGUCAUGUAAGCUGUUAGAGGUGACAUCACAAUAAGGUAAGGUCAUGUAAACUCUUAGAGAUGACAUCACAAUAAGGUAAGAUCAUGUAAGCUGUUAGAGGUGUCAUCACAAUAAGGUAAGGUCAUGUAAGCUGUUAGAGAUGACAUCACAAUAAGGUAAGGUCAUGUAAACUGUUACAGAGGUGACAUCACAAUAAGUUAAGGUCAUGUAAACUGUUACAGAGGUGUCAUCACAAUAAGUUAAGGUCAUGUAAACUGUUACAGAGGUGUCAUCACAAUAAGGUAAGGUCAUGUAAACUGUUACAGAGGUGACAUCACAAUAAGGUAAGGUCAUGUAAACUGUUAGAGGUGACAUUACAAUAAGGUAAGGUCAUGUAAACUCUUAGAGAUGACAUCACAAUAAGGUAAGGUCAUGUAAACUGUUAGAGGUGACAUUACAAUAAGGUAAGGUCAUGUAAACUCUUAGAGGUGACAUUACAAUAAGGUAAGGUCAUGUAAACUCUUAGAGGUGUCAUCACAAUAAGGUAAGGUCAUGUAAACUCUUAGAGGUGACAUCACAAUAAGGUAAGGUCAUGUAAACUGUUACAGAGGUGUCAUCACAAUAAGGUAAGAUCAUGUAAACUGUUACAGAGGUGACAUCACAAUAAGGUAAGGUCAUGUAAACUGUUACAGAGGUGACAUCACAAUAAGUUAAGGUCAUGUAAACUGUUACAGAGAUGACAUCACAAUAAGGUAAGGUCAUGUAAACUGUUACAGAGGUGACAUCACAAUAAGGUCUAUGUAAGGUCAUGUAAACUGUUCUACUCAUCUAUUUCAUCAUUCAUCCGUUUUCUCAACAGGUUAACAGACAGCACAAGUCAGAGAGCUUGUCCAGGGCCAAGGGGGUCAGACCAAGCCGGCAGGCCUCUUUGGAAAGGAGACGAGCAGAAGGAUCCAUUUCAUACUAUUGAGAUGAACCGUGGGUAGAGAGAAAGCACUGUAACAGUUCCUAUGUGCUGUGAAGUAACACUAUCCCCUCUUGAGUGAAGAACCCAUGAAAUGUACCUAUGGAGAACCACGACACAGGAUGUCACCUAAAGUAUUGAAACAGGGCAGGGAGAUGGAGAGAGUACAGAUGUGGAAACGUAUAGAUCACCCAACGUCAAGACUGAUGUGUUACUCCACAAUUGGCGUCUUCAUAGUGCAGUGACUCUGACUGGGUAAACUCCCAGCCCCCGGCUUCUCUCUCUCUCUCUCUACACAACACUGCAAAAAAAAUUGAAAUAUCUUUGUUUUGAAUCUGAUGAUAACUGUUUAUUUUCCAAGCUGUCGAGAAAAAGUCUCCCUCCUGACUUCCUCUUGGGGGUUUUUAGACUCCUAAAGCGGUGCAAUAAAACAACGCCUCACUUUCCUCUCAUCACGGUGCUACUAACACACAGCCUGACAAUAAUAUGUGUGUUCGCUGGUGUUAAAACAAUGCCUCACUUUCCUCUCAUCACGGUGCUACUAACACACAGCCUGACAAUAAUGUGUGUGUUCGCUGGUAAUAAAACAACGCCUCACUUUCCUCUCAUCACGGUGCUACUAACACACAGCCUGACAAUAAUGUGUGUGUUCGCUGGUAAUAAAACAACGCCUCACUUUCCUCUCAUCACGGUGCUACUAACACACAGCCUGACAAUAAUGUGUGUGUUCGCUGGUAAUAAAACAACGCCUCACUUUCCUCUCAUCACGGUGCUACUAACACACAGCCUGACAAUAAUGUAUGUUGGUGAUAAAACAUAAAACCUCCCGGUACUCCCCUGUGACUUCCUGACUAACACAGACAGCCAGAAGAGUCACAUUCCACACAACGCUAUCAAUAAAAUCAUUUAUUCUG
Oncorhynchus kisutch (coho salmon) is the source of this 3064-nucleotide long non-coding RNA. RefSeq lists it as uncharacterized. The record is from RefSeq and is a predicted model, not a curated record. The transcript has 2 exons. Lineage: Eukaryota; Metazoa; Chordata; Actinopteri; Salmoniformes; Salmonidae.